UACGGUGAAUACGUUCCCGGACCUUGUCACACCGCCCCGUCAAGCCAUGGAAGCUGGGUGUACCUAAAGUCGGUAACCGCAAGGAGCCGCCUAGGGGUAAAACUAGUAACUGGGGCU
This 117-nucleotide ribosomal RNA is filed under the name uncultured bacterium. RNAcentral's name for it is "partial 16S ribosomal RNA". It matches the Rfam family "Bacterial small subunit ribosomal RNA", at positions 1358 to 1482 of the family's 1533-position model. The record is from RNAcentral.